CACACGAGGCCUCCACUGCGGUUGCGCAGCCCGCCGAAGAGCGUGCGACUUCUACUGCGGCUGCGCAAGCUCGGCGCGCGCACUCUUGUCUGUUUACGAGGGCUCCUCCCUUCAGCUUUGGUCCCUCGGGGCGUCUGGGCAGCCUACGCUUUCCGGGCGGGUCUGGGGAGGCAGCUGGCUCCGAGGCAAGGUGGAUCUCUGCAGAAGUACAGUCUAUAUAAAGACUGUCCAGGACAAAAACUGGCCACUCCAUUCAGCAUUGAGAGAAGUAUUUAAAGCUGGUAAGGUGAAGUUUCUCAAGAGCAAAGACAAUGCCUUCAUGCAUGUUCAGUGUCUGCCCCCGUGGGCUUUGAAAUGAGCACUGACAAUGGGGAAUCUGCAGUGACUUCUCUGCCUCUGCCAAAGCCCAGGGGUGCUGCUCCCUAAUUCUAAGGAUUCUAAUGAGACUCAGAGCAGGUGUAACACAGGGCAUGGAGCUUCCUGAGCAAGAGGCUGGCUAACAAGCUGGGGACGUGGUACUUAGACACAUUAAGAGACAUUAUAGGGACACCAGCAAGUAUGUCUCCCUGGGGAGAAGCCAAGUGCAGAUGCUAUGGCCACAGACGACAUGGUUUGGCUCUGUGUCCCCACUCAAAUCUCAUCUCAAAUUGUAAUCCCUGGGUGUCGAGGGAAGGACCUGGUGGGAGGUGAUUGGAUCGGUUCACAUGAUAGUGAGGGAGUUCUCACGAGAUCUGAUUGUUUGAUAAGUGUCUGGCAUUUCUCCUGUGCUGUCUCUCCUGCCACCUUGUGAAGAAGGUCCCUGCUUCUCCUUCGCCUUCCGCCAUGAUGAUUGUAAGUUUCCUGAGGCCUCCCUAGCAAUGCAGAACUCAUGACCCAUCCAGCUGGCACCAGCACCUGGGGCUGCCAGGCAGCCACCCCUGCAGCUGUGUUGACAGGGCCUGGCAGAGGGACUGACCCACCUUUGGAAAGUGACACCAGCAAUAUCGGGAUGUGACAACUGGAUUUAUGUUAAGAAAAUAGGAUUUUUGGUGUUCCUCUGUUUCCCAAAGUUUGAGACACUUUCAGACACUCUGCUUUGCGGUUGUGGCCAAUGUUACCCAUGGGUGGGACUUUUGCUUUGCUCUAGAUUUUUGUAAUACCCUAGGGAGUUUUGGGGGCCAAUGCUGAGAGAAGACCACAGGCUGACGCAUCAUGAGGUAUGUUGGUAAAACAGUCCCGGCUGGCUGAGAGGCCACUGAGGGAACAGGCCCAGGGUUUGGUUUGUACUCUGUGAGUCUUGGCCUGGCAGGGUCUCCCGCACAGCAGAGCUCUCUGAGUGGGAGCCCAGGGGAAGCAGGUUGUUGCCUGGAGCUGAGAGGCAGCUCUGUAUUCAGGAGGGGUGCCUGCCUUCCCAUCUCCCCUGUGACCAGAUGUCACAGAAACAUUCUCUCUUUACUCCCUAGACCCUCUGGGCAGGUCCACUAAGAGCAUGUAUUCUAGAACAUGCAGGGCCUGAAACUUCACAAGAUAUUUAGUACAUUCCUUAUAGAUCCUCUCAAAUGUGGACCGGGUGGUGUCAUCGCACCACCGUCAUCCCCUUGUUACCCCUGAGAACACAGCUUCAGAGAGGGUAAGUAACCUAUCUCAGGCCACACAGCCAGGACAUGGAGCUAGAUCCAUCCUAAGUCUUUCUACCACACACUCCUUUCUACAGUCAUGGGUUAAAGGAGGGUGCCAUGGAAUGGGUCAUCCAGUGUACACUGACAUCAGGAGGAGUUUCACAUUCAUACUCUCAUGGCAAAUGGUUCUGUUGCUCCCUGGUCCAAAGAUGAUCUUAAUAGUAGGAAAAACUCAUUUGGCAGAAGCAAGACUCAGCACACAGGCUCUCUGAGUCUUCUGUGGCUGGCCCUGCCCUGCCCUCCCCUCGCCAACCCCACUUGCAGAAUAAAGUUAGGGGGCUGUGAGGACUGAGGCCCGGCCUUGACAGGCACCCGCAGCCGGCCAAACUCCCACCUGCCCAGUUGGAGGGGUGCGAGAAGGCCUUGCUGCUCUGCACCACCUUCAUGGCCUCCCCUAGGGCGGCGCUGGCUUUCAGGCCGUUCAGCAGGGAUGAGUAGAAGGCAUGGAUGAACAUCUUAGAAGCAGCCACUGACACAGGCCACAGAGACACGAGGACACACUGAGCGCCGGCAGCCAGGAAGGCCCUUGUCAGCGCAAUGACCCCGUCGGCUGUGACUUUGCUGUUGGACUCCUGGGAGGAGCCAAGCACCACCAGCUUCACAGGCAGCUGCAGGUCCAGGACGUCAGCGGCGGUGCCUAACUUACUGAGAAUCAUGCUUGCUGUGAUGAGCCCUCGAAAAUCAUCAGGACUGGAUGGUAGGGGUCCUGAGAGGACUGGGGGAGGAGGCCCUGAUAUGACAGAGUGGACAGAGGCUGUGAAACCCAGGACGGCCAGCCUGCUCCAGAAUCCUCAUCCCCACAGACCUUCCUGUGUGGCUCCUAAAUAAGAGGAAACCCAUUCCUGAUAAGUCAGGGUAUUUGAAGAGUGAUUUUGUUUAAAUGGUGCAAACAAGCAAGCCAAUCUUGGGGAGACAGGGCUAAACUAAGUCCUUUAAGAAGCUGUACCUACUGACAAGAUUCUAGUUCCCUUCCACCUUACAUGCUGCAAAGUAAAAAGUAUCACUGAAUGAGAAAAUCAGCAUAAAGAAGCCCAAUAAUGUCUGCCUGAGUUUCCCCUAUGAUGACUUUUGGUACUUUUUGGGAAACAUUAAGUAUGAAGUUAUUUCAAAAUAAUUUUUUGGUGCCUCUGCUUGGUGAUGCCUUAAACUCUGGGUAAGAGAAACACCAGGUGCCUGUCAGGAGAUGGCCUCUUCCAGGUUUCUGGUUAAGCUACAAACAGCUAGCUGGCUGUUGUCAUCAAAAUAAAAGCUUUCUGAAGGUGGAGGCAUCUGAUACCCAGAAUGCUGCUAUCAGCCGGCACGGUGGGCCACUGGGUGGCAGGAGCGUCGAGAAGGCCAGCUCGCUUCCUAUCUGGGAUUCAGAAUCAGCCAUGGAAACUUGAGAGACCUAGAGAAAAUAACUUCUUUCACUUUGAACUGAUUCUUUGCUUCAUAAGAAAAGUAUUAUCCAGCCACAAAAAUGGUCAAAAUUCAGAUCUACAAAAACCUGUGAGGCCGAAACUGACCCCACUUAGGCCACGCCAAUGAGCACGUCAUCAAAGCAGCCAAGACAGGUCUUAUGGGGGCCACCCAUGCACAGGGCCCAGCCUCGGUUCCUAACCCCGCCUAUGCUUUGCACCACCGUAAGGAGGCCCAUCUGGGUAAGACCUGUCCCGCCCACCGUGGGGUAUUGGGGCAGAUGGGGUCUGAGGGCUCUGAGAGCAGCUGGCAGCUCAAGGGCAUCUGGAGUUGGAGGAUGGAGCAAUGCAGGCCCCUGUGGUAAAGACAGUCCUGCAGCCGGGCAGGCAGGGAUGCUGCAAGUGGAGGGCCAGGCAGGUGCGGAGCCCUGUGGGACUGUGGAGGGGUCAGAGGGAAGCCAGGAUUUUGGGGUCUCUGAGAGUUUGGAGAAGGGGAAGAAGAUUAAAGCUUGGCUCAAAAGUUUCUAAUCAGGUGGGCAGGGCCAAGGGUGGCUGUGGGGUGAGACCCAUGACUCAGGGUGGCCCACUGUUACUCUCUUGAUUUUGUGGCAUUUUUUUUCCAAAUUGAUUAUUCUUGCUGAAUGAGACCUGAGUCCUUGACUGUCCCCUUAAAGCCACCUGACUUGUUUUCAGUUCCACUGGCCUGUUGGGCUGUUUUCCACUCAACUCCACUCUUACUUGUCUGCCCUCCCUGCUUGGGGCCCAGCCAGCAGUCAGCUCAAGGGCCAGGUGAAUUGGGUGGCUGUGCUCUGCCCACUGGGCAUCGUGUGGAUGGUGGGUGACCAGCCCCCUCAGGUGCUCAGUCAGGCCUCAAGCCUCGCUGUGUACCUCAGAGCAGCUCAGUACCCUGAUGUCGCAGCAAAGAAACUUAGACAUGACACAAAUUGUGGCUUCCCAAGGCAGCAAAGAAUGGCCAGGGGUCAUGAGGGUCGUGUCCCGCUUUUGGACAGACCUACUCUAAAGUCACGCUACCUGCGUGCAAAUCAUAAAAUCAACACUUUUGAGGAGAUCACAGCUAUGCCUUAGUAACACAGCCCAGUCAGACCAGAUAGACGGUGGCUCAUGACCCCGAGAACAAGCCCCCGGCCCCCCACCAUGUGUGUGAGCCUUACCUUGGACUGCACGCUGAGGGAGCGGAUGGAAGGGACAGCAAGGAGGCCGAAGCGCUCGUAGAGGUACUCGUUGGAGGAGCUUCCCUUCAGGAGGGCGAAAGGAAUGAGGUAGAGCUCCCCCUCCAGAACCAGGAUGAGCUGCCGGUGCCGGCCCACGGGGCCGCUGGAGUGCAUCAGGCCCUAUGGAGCAAGCACGGAGAGGCUCACAAGGGUGGCCCAGCAGGCAGGGGUUUCAGGCACCAGGACAACCCUGAGCCCUGGCCUGGAUGACACAAGCACAAGCAGAACAACGCUAAGGCCACGGGCAUCUUAAUGAGAACAGCAGGCAACAAUCCUGGAAGCUGGGUCCACACAGACUGAGGUGAACAAAGAGGUGGCAUGGAAGCUGCUGCUGCAGCCCAGAGCCUGCCAAGAAGGUCCCAGGUCCACAGAGCCUGUGCAACACUGGGUGCCAGGGGUGGGGCUGGCCUGCCCCCCAACCCCAUCUGCUGAGGAGUGGCUGACAAGCGGACACCCACCAGGGUGCCACUCGCUUGUGCCUGGGGAAGCAAAUGUGCUCGCUUGACCCGUCUGAUGUGCUGCCGUGGGCACUUGACUGAGAGUGGCAGGGCACUAGGCUAACCCAAAGUGACACAUGCCUGGCGGGACGUUCAGUCUCUGUAAACCCCUAUGGUUUUUUUUUUUCUUUCUUUUAAAAAAAAUUUCUAGCUCCAUCUAGUGAAAGCAGAAAUAAAAAUUAUUAGGCCAAUUUGUUUUUCGUUUGUUUGCUGUAAGAGCUACAGUAUGGGCCAGGCAUGGUGGCUCACACCUGUAAUCCCAGCACUUUGGGAGCCCAAGGCAGGAGGAUUAUCUGAGGUCAGGAGUGCAACAUGGUGAAACUCCAUCUCUACUAAAAAUCCAAAAUAACCGGGUGUGGUGGCAUGCACCUGUAGUCCCAGCUACUCAGGAGGCUGACGCAGGAGAAUCCCUUGAACCCAGGAGGCGAAGAUUGUAGUGGGCCAAGAUUAUACCAGUGUACUCCGGCCUGGGGGACAGAGCGAGACUGUGUCUCAAAAACAACAACAAAAGAGCUACAGUAUUUCCCAAGAGGAGGUAAAUUAAUCACUGUUCAAUUGUGCAACCUAGGCAGGAAGAAGUAGGGGUGUGUCACAGUGACCCCAACACUGUCUAUAGAUGAGCUCUGGGUUAGCACAAGGAGGAGAAAGAGCUGUAGGCACGUGGGCCCCAUGGCCUGCCAUGGGCCACACCUGAGCUCCCUGGCUGGCUCCAUAGGUAGAGGUGGCUCAGGGGGCUGCUCUGGAGGGCAGUUCCACCAUACCGUGGAGGUGUGCCAGUGAACCUCGAACCAGCAGCAGUGACACAGCUGAUGCUGCUCUGACCCUGGUGACAGGGUCAGCAGCUGUGACAGUGAUGACCACCUGCUGCUCACUGGGAACUGUGCUGCCUGAGAAUGGGUAGUGCGGAGCUUAAGCCACCUGCCAUGUGCAAAACUGGACCCACCUCCACUGUUCCAGAGUUGCAGGGCUUUGUUGUGACAAGAUGCCAGCCCCAGCCCCAGCCCCAGGCCUGCAGGUCCUCCCUGGGCUCCUGCUGUCUAGGCCCAAACCACAGUAAGUUUCUGUCAGAUGUCAUCCCACAGGCUACUGCCUUCACCAGGACACACGCCACUCAUAGACAAGUCCCUGGUCAUGACAGCACCUAACUGUGUGAACCGGAGGGAAGCUUGGCAAGCUGAAAAAUGGAGAAGUGAGGCUGGAAUCCACGCAGAGCAAACAUUCACUGGCAGCCCAUCUUUGUAGAACUCUGCUAACUCUACCCACAAAACCUCAUCUGCAGCACAAGCCUAAUGAUCAGAGAAUGCAUGUCCUUGAAGGCAGCUUGUCUGUCUUCUCCGACACGCCACCAGGGGUGGGGGGGCACCUCCUGUGGCCCUAUUGUCAGAAGUCUCCUAAGCUGGGCCUCAACUUUCCCAUCAGCCACUGAGUGGUGUCCAUCAUGUGCCUACUGGGGACUGUAGGGAAGUCAGAUAAAUUUAGGACAUGGUCCUUGCUUGCAGACUUACGAUGAUGUACUUAGAAAACUAAAAUGCACACAAGAGGCCAUUGCUGAGUGAAACUCAGUAUUGUCAAAUGUAACACCUUUAUGGUAGCAUGGCAGCCCCCAGAACGGGGAAAGCCUACCCAGGCUGACGCUGGGCCCACCCAGGAGGGUCCGUGAGGGCUGGGGAAGGCCUGGGCAGAUGCUGUUGCCAGGUGAGCACAAGGCUAAAGAGGGACAUGGGAGCCAGACUGUGGGGGCACUGAAGAUCAGGCAAGAAAGUGUGGUUCUUGUUGGCUGUCAGGACCUGCCAUGCCUUCUCAAGCUGAGCCCUGCAAAGCAUUGAGAGGCAGCCUGCCUGCCUGCGGGAGAGGGGGUCAUACCCGGGAGUAAUUCAUUCCAGGGCAUGCCCACCAAGAGAGGAGACAAGGAGACUUGCUGGGACUCAGUGAGAGUGACCUUAGCAGGUGAGGAGAAGUCUGAAGUCCAGGCCGGGAGAUAUGGAGGCUGUUCUCUGAACCUCAUAUCCCAAUUUGGAGGUCUGGAUCCUCCCUGCAUCAUGCCUAGGAGCUGGUACCGAGCUUGGCACAUGCAUACAACCCUGGGUGAAGGCCCCCAAAUGGGACCCCUGUCCAAACUCUGUGAAACAAGGCAGGUGACAGCCGCAGCUGUUCUCUGAAAUGUGUGGGUUUGUGGGGAGACGGGUAGAACAGCAGGCUGACAGCUCCCGUUCAAAGGGGGAAACUGAUUGGACAUGCUAGAGAUAAUGCCCAGGAAACUUGUGAGCUCUGUCUCUGGUAUAUGCGUGCUGUCCUUGCACUGAAAGAUUAGCUGUAAUCCAACGUGAACUUGAAAAGGGGAAAGCAUGCGACAUCUCUAUUCAGCUUACAUAUCAUCAGUCAGACUACAAAGGAGAGACAUCCAAGGAAACACUAUUCAGCACCUGGGCCUGUCAGCCUCGGAAAGGGCGUCUGCUGGCCUCUUAAGGCUUAGGGUUGAACAAUAAAGUGGCUCACGCACCAGCCUUACAGCAGCAACUACCAGAGUCUCCAACAGAUUACAUCAAAGACUCAGAUGUUCUGACCUCUGUAGUUUCUAGUAAUGGGAUUUCUGAAAGCAGAAGAUGACAGGGCCAGGUGCACUGGAAUCUGUCCCUUCCUCAGGGGUCCCGCCCUGUGCUCUCACCAAGGGGCUGUGACCCUGACUGUGGCAAUGCGAGUCCAGGCAGUAAAUGAUGCUUGAGAACUUACGGUGUUCCAGGCCAGGUGAGAGAGACGGGGAAAGACACAGUGCUGGGCAGGCAGGCCACCAUGCACGGCAUCGUGGGGCUGCCCUGGGGUGCGGUGAUGGCAGGGGUACCAUGAAGGUGCAGUCUUGUACAAGGAGAGGGUUGUUCCUUCUGACAGGGUGGGCAGUGAGUGCACUGGAGGUGGCUUUGUGCAGCUGUUGUCAGUUUACUGCCUCUCAGGUCCUGAAGCCCUUGUCACUAUCCACUCUAAGACAGGCUGCAUUCCUUCGGCUGUUUCUCCCAUGAUAUGCAGGGUGCUGAGCUGUGUCAGUGGAGUGCACUAAGGGGCACUGAGGAGGCAGGAGCCCUCCUGCUGGCCUGGGUCAGUGGUGGGUGAGGACAUCCAGAGGGGCCUGCCCAGCCACGGGCCCAGAGCGCUGUCCCGUUGCCACCUUGCUGUCUCGACCUGGUGAUAAUCUUCCCACACUCCUAAGGCCUCCUGCGUCUGCAGGUCCCUGGACUCCCUGGCACCCAUCACCGCUGGAAGCUGAUGGCUGCUCUCCUGCCCACACUCAGGGGGCUAGCGCUUGUCAGCAACCCCAGACUGGCUCUGGCCUGGCCAAACAGUGGACAUAUCUUUGUGUCCUGUGGGCUGAAUGACACCUCCUCCCAUGUUCAUUCUUUACUAGGUACACUCCCUCAGCCCUAGAGAACCACACAGCCUCCCUAUAUCUUACAGUUACUUGCCUCUCAUAGGUAAUAGUUCUCUAUACUGAACAUCCCUGGUUAGCCUAAGGUGUGGUUUCUGUCUCCAGAUGGACCCAGAGGAUGAAAAGCCAUGUCCAGUGGCCCAGGAAGGGAUGCUGCAUGCUGGGGAAAGAACAGGGGGCCUGAGGGGAGGCCCUGUCACGGAGUCUGAGUCAGCCUGCCAAGUCAGGGUUUUCCCAGCAUCUGGAAUUGCUAGAUGGGAGGCGAGGGGUGGGAAACCAGUAGGGUUGUGGGUAGGUGCUCUGCGCACUCCAAGACGACACUAACCUCUCUGCACCUUGGUUUCCAAACCCACAGGACAGCGCUAACAUCCAUUCCUCACAGGCCUAUGAGGCCAAGGUAGCUGCACAGUGGGUAAAGCAUCUAGCCCCAUGCCUGGCACUGGUGUGCACUCCAGAUAUAUUGGUCAAAUGAGAAUUUACAACUGUCUUCAGUGCUUGGAAUAAAGUGACACUGCCCCUAUUAUUUAUACUAUUCUUUUCUCCUGGCCCAUAAUCAUUUUUCCAGUAUUACUCAUUCCCUUUCUCUCUGGCGUUUACAAACAUUCACGUGGCUAAAACAGACAAAUGGCUUCUCUGGAACAUCCAGCUCUGAAUUUUAACCCAGAGACUAUGAGAGACAGAGGUCGUCACAUCCCCCUCACCUCAUCUUCACGUCACCAUCGCUAUCAUCCACACCUACUUACUGAGCCACCACCAAGCAGUUACCCUGAAGUCCAGUUUCCAAGCCCACAGUUCUCCCAGGCAACCCCCAACGGAUCCCGAACGUGUCUUUGGGUGGUGAAUUCUGAUUGGAUUGCCGUUUCGGUCAGCAGGACCUUCUGAAUAUGCCCUGGUGAGUACAGGUCGAGCUCUUCAGAAAGCACUCAUAGCAAAUGUUAUGUUGAUCAUGUCCUAAUCUGGAGUUUAAGAAAGACGUGCUCCCUGUGUAUCGCCAAGGUUAGAGGAUGUGCAGGCGACCUCCACAGGGCACCAGGGAGUUUCCUUUUUACUGGCGGACACGGUAGGCCUCUCAGGGGUUCACAGUAUCACAGGCCAGAGGAAUGAAAAUCUCUGAUCACCGUGGGGGAGGGAAAGAAAAUGCCUGGGUCCAUGAGCUUUCAGACUGAUUAGACUUGGGAUGAAAUGGACUUUACUGUCUACAAUAAGGAUUCCAGAGGCAAAGGGCUGCAGGGUAUCCAGAUACUCCAGAACUGUGUAUAGGGCUUCACAUUUUUUCCUGAUUCAUAUUUUUGAUGGAAUAAAUUUAUCAAACAGAACUGUUUAAGGUAGAGGAACCCCUUCUGUGAUGCUGGAAAUCCUGUCAUCAUGGGUGGAUACAUACAGUUUUGGCAAAGAUCACACACCUCUGGAAACCACCCUCAACCAUGACUGAAGCCCACCAAGACUGUAGAUACUGUAUUCCAGCCAGAAAUGGAAACGUGAGCAUUCAACCCAUUCAACUGUAUUCUUUGGCCAAACGACAGCCCACUGGUUUGCCUGAAGAACCUAAGAAGGUACUGGAGAAACGUGACCAAUGGCCAGCAAGAGCCAGAAGGGCCUGCCUGAAACCCAGGGUCCAACUUCAGUCAAAUCAGCUUGAAGGGACUGCUCAAGCUACAGGAGCCUCUGUGCAGUGGGCAGGGUUGGAGGGGCGGAGGGGAGCCUCUCUCUCUAUCUUGGCUGACCUGGUAAAAAUGAUCCCUCCACCCCUAGUGGCAGAAGACCCUGACCUGCCUGGAACCUGCCAGGGUAAGGCUAAGAUGGCUGCUUGUUGAACACCAGCUAGAAUAGGGCCAGCACGCAGAUGACACUCAAGUAACAGCAGCCAUCCAGGUGAGAAUGCCACUUACCACGUGAGAUCUUGCUGGUUAUCCUGGGUGCUGCCACCACUGGUUUUAGUCAUACAGACAGCUUGCAAGUAAUUGCCUCCAUUUUUCCUCCUCCUAAUCAGUUGUGAAAAUGCUUGUUGUCCUUGGGUGACGUCUGUCCUCAUUUGAAUAUCACUACAGAUGUCUCAAUCAGAAAUCAAUUAGACAGCCUGGUGGCGGGGCUGCCAGUCUCAAGGGCCUCAUCCUCUACCUCAUAUUGGAAUCUAGGUCUGAUUGUUUCUAAGAACAAAAAUUCCCUGGCUAUACCCAAGCCUCCCAAUCUAUUUAGAAAAUAGGCAACCACAUGGUCAGUCUCAUUCCUGUUGCAUCUGUUCUAGGAGAGGCCGACUUAUCCUGCUACCUGAUUUUGCAAGGGGUAUUUUACAAAACACAAGGGAGUCCUUUCCCCCAGGGCAGUGAUCACAGUCAUGACCCAACCAAGGCCAAGCCACUCUCAUAGCCGAGCCCUUGGCAGAGCUAGACCCCUGCUUUCACUCUUAGAUGAGAAGACUCAGGUGAAAUCCCUGAGCUCCAGUGCUUGGAAAGCAGUUCAACAGCCUAACAGACAUAAACAAGUUUUGAAUAAGUUUCUAGGAUUUUAAACAGGUGACUCUACACUUCAUGAAUCACAAGCUGAGGUGAAUGAGAUGUACUUUUCUUUCUGAUCAAAGUCAUUUGCUCUUGCUACCUGUCCUAGAACCUUGGUUUUUAAAUUUAAAUAUAGGAAACAGGGAAUUUAAAUAAAGGGAAAUAAAAAUAAGGAUAACAGACACUCUAUAACUAGAGAAAGUCCAGACUCCAAGGAUCCUGAAAGAUCCCCAAAUCUGAACCUUUGAAGAGUAACUUGACCAAACGUAAGGUAUUCCUUAAAUCUGGUUCCUUGAUUGUAGCAGCUGCUAGCUCUGGACGAAGGACCCAACUGAAAACUGACGGGUGAUUUGGGAUCUGAGUGGAUGAGUGGCUUUGCCUACAGCAGCCCUGCAGAGCCCUGCCACAAGUUUGCUGCUGAGGGAGGGACGCUGGAGAGAACUCUGAGGCAGCCUUGUGCCUUGAGGUGGUGGGGACAGGACUGGCCCAGAUCAGUCCAGGGCAAGAAGCAGGGAAGUCCAGGUCAGAGACAUGGGUUACUAUCCUUCACU
This is a long non-coding RNA of Symphalangus syndactylus (siamang), 11248 nucleotides long. RefSeq lists it as uncharacterized. Lineage: Eukaryota; Metazoa; Chordata; Mammalia; Primates; Hylobatidae. The record is from RefSeq and is a predicted model, not a curated record.